Molecule: ribosomal RNA, 667 nt
Filed under: uncultured Bacteroidales bacterium
Lineage: Bacteria; Pseudomonadati; Bacteroidota; Bacteroidia; Bacteroidales
Description: bacterial SSU rRNA
Rfam family: Bacterial small subunit ribosomal RNA
Source: RNAcentral
CAUCAGUUUGGUUUGCUUGCAAACCAAAGCUGGCGACCGGCGCACGGGUGAGUAACACGUAUCCAACCUGCCUCAUACUCGGGGAUAGCCUUUCGAAAGAAAGAUUAAUAUCCGAUAGCAUAUAUUUCCCGCAUGGGUUUUAUAUUAAAGAAAUUCGGUAUGAGAUGGGGAUGCGUUCCAUUAGUUUGUUGGGGGGGUAACGGCCCACCAAGACUACGAUGGAUAGGGGUUCUGAGAGGAAGGUCCCCCACAUUGGAACUGAGACACGGUCCAAACUCCUACGGGAGGCAGCAGUGAGGAAUAUUGGUCAAUGGACGCGAGUCUGAACCAGCCAAGUAGCGUGAAGGAUGACUGCCCUAUGGGUUGUAAACUUCUUUUAUAUGGGAAUAAAGUGGUCCACGUGUGGACUUUUGUAUGUACCAUAUGAAUAAGGAUCGGCUAACUCCGUGCCAGCAGCCGCGGUAAUACGGAGGAUCCGAGCGUUAUCCGGAUUUAUUGGGUUUAAAGGGAGCGUAGGCGGAUUGUUAAGUCAGUUGUGAAAGUUUGCGGCUCAACCGUAAAAUUGCAGUUGAUACUGGCAGUCUUGAGUGCAGUAGAGGUGGGCGGAAUUCGUGGUGUAGCGGUGAAAUGCUUAGAUAUCACGAAGAACUCCGAUUGCGAAGGCAGC